CACUGACCCUCAUGCACGAAAGCGUGGGGAGCAAACAGGAUUAGAUACCCUGGUAGUCCACGCCCUAAACGAUGCCGACUAGUUGUUGGGAAUUUACAUUCUCAGUAACGUAGCUAACGCGUGAAGUCGGCCGCCUGGGGAGUACGGUCGCAAGAUUAAAACUCAAAGGAAUUGACGGGGACCCGCACAAGCGGUGGAUGAUGUGGAUUAAUUCGAUGCAACGCGAAAAACCUUACCUACCCUUGACAUGUCACUAACGAAGUA
This 264-nucleotide ribosomal RNA is filed under the name uncultured beta proteobacterium. RNAcentral describes it as "partial 16S ribosomal RNA". It matches the Rfam family "Bacterial small subunit ribosomal RNA", at positions 738 to 1002 of the family's 1533-position model. The record is from RNAcentral. Lineage: Bacteria; Pseudomonadati; Pseudomonadota; Betaproteobacteria.